UGAGUCCUCCAGCCCCACAUCCCGAGGUCUUCCAGCACCUUAAGUGAGUCCUUCAGCCCCACACCGGGGUCCUCCAGCCCCACAUCCCAGUCCUCCAGCCUCGUGUCUCCUUCUCACACUCUUCGAUGCUCCUCAGCCUCUCCGCCUCCUCUUUCAGGCCAGUCCUCCAGCCCCACACCCCAGUCCUCCAGCCCCAUAAGUGAGUUUUCCAGCCCCACAUCGAGGUCCUCCAGCCGCACACCUCGGUCCUCCAGAACCCGAAGUGAGUCCUCCAGCCCCACAUCCCAGUCCUCCAGCCCCACAUCCCAGUCCUUGAGACGUGAAAUUGAGUCCUCCAGCCCCACAUCCCAGUCCUCCAGCCCCACAUCCCAGUCCUUGAGACGUGAAAUUGAGUCCUCCAGCCCC
This 405-nucleotide long non-coding RNA is filed under the name Chrysolophus pictus (golden pheasant). Its description in RNAcentral is "lncRNA (ENSCPIG00010008443.1)". The record is from RNAcentral. Lineage: Eukaryota; Metazoa; Chordata; Aves; Galliformes; Phasianidae.